RNAcentral lists this ribosomal RNA (440 nucleotides) under uncultured bacterium. RNAcentral's name for it is "partial 16S ribosomal RNA". It matches the Rfam family "Bacterial small subunit ribosomal RNA", at positions 338 to 795 of the family's 1533-position model. The record is from RNAcentral.
CCUACGGGUGGCAGCAGUGGGGGAUAUUGCACAAUGGGGGGAACCCUGAUGCAGCGACGCCGCGUGGGUGAAGAAGCGCCUCGGCGCGUAAAGCCCUGUCAGCAGGGAAGAAAAUGACGGUACCUGAAGAAGAAUCCCCGGCUAACUACGUGCCAGCAGCCGCGGUAAUACGUAGGGGGCAAGCGUUAUCCGGAUUUACUGGGUGUCAAGGGGGCGCAGACGGCGAUGCAAGCCAGGAGUGAAAGCCCGGGGCUCAACCCCGGGACUGCUCUUGGAACUGCGGGGCUGGAGUGCAGGAGGGGCAGGCGGAAUUCCUGGUGUAGCGGUGAAAUGCGUAGAUAUCAGGAGGAACACCGGUGGCGAAGGCGGCCUGCUGGACUGCAACUGACGUUGAGGCCCGAAAGCGUGGGGAGCAAACAGGAUUAGAUACCCUGGUAGUC